Molecule: non-coding RNA, 115 nt
Organism: Aedes aegypti (yellow fever mosquito)
Lineage: Eukaryota; Metazoa; Arthropoda; Insecta; Diptera; Culicidae
Source: Rfam
UGUCCAGUAACUCCUAUCCCUACCUCCCCGUGAUGCAGCCUGGGGUACGAGUAACCGUAGGGAAGAUCAGGUAAUCAACCCCGGUAGGACCUUGCUCGUAUGCUGACAGGGAAGA